UACGUAGGGUGCAAGCGUUAAUCGGAAUUACUGGGCGUAAAGCGUGCGCAGGCGGUGAUGUAAGACAGUUGUGAAAUCCCCGGGCUCAACCUGGGAACUGCAUCUGUGACUGCAUCGCUGGAGUGCGGCAGAGGGGGAUGGAAUUCCGCGUGUAGCAGUGAAAUGCGUAGAUAUGCGGAGGAACACCGAUGGCGGAAGGCAAUCCCCUGGGCCUGCACUGACGCUCAUGCACGAAAGCGUGGGAGCAA
This 248-nucleotide ribosomal RNA is filed under the name uncultured bacterium. RNAcentral's name for it is "partial 16S ribosomal RNA". It matches the Rfam family "Bacterial small subunit ribosomal RNA", at positions 524 to 771 of the family's 1533-position model. The record is from RNAcentral.